RNAcentral lists this ribosomal RNA (253 nucleotides) under uncultured bacterium. Its description in RNAcentral is "partial 16S ribosomal RNA". It matches the Rfam family "Bacterial small subunit ribosomal RNA", at positions 524 to 776 of the family's 1533-position model. The record is from RNAcentral.
UACGUAGGGGGCAAGCGUUGUCCGGAAUCAUUGGGCGUAAAGAGCGUGUAGGCGGUCCGGUAAGUCGGCUGUGAAAGUCCAGGGCUCAACCCUGGAAAGCGGGUGGAUACUGCCGGGCUAGAAUCCGGAAGAGGCGAGUGGAAUUCCUGGUGUAGCGGUGGAAUGCGCAGAUAUCAGGAGGAACACCAAUAGCGAAGGCAGCUCGCUGGGACGGUAUUGACGCUGAGGCGCGAAAGCGUGGGGAGCAAACAGG